RNAcentral lists this ribosomal RNA (249 nucleotides) under Triticum aestivum (bread wheat). Its description in RNAcentral is "partial small subunit ribosomal RNA". Lineage: Eukaryota; Viridiplantae; Streptophyta; Magnoliopsida; Poales; Poaceae. The record is from RNAcentral.
AUGCAGUUGGUCAUGGGUGGCCACACUGCGGUUUCGGUCAAUGGUAACGUCAGCCAAUUCUUCGCCAACGGUAGGGGCUUGAGGCAAGGUGACCCUGCUUCUCCUCUUCUCUUCAACUUUGUCGCGGAUGCUCUAUCUCAUAUUCUAACUAGGGCUGCCACAGCCGGGCACAUUACUCCUGUCAGCUCUCACCUUGUUCCUAACGGCAUUUUCCACCUACAAUAUGCGGACGACACCAUCAUUAUGGUU